GACGAACGCUGGCGGCGUGCUUAACACAUGCAAGUCGAACGGAAAGGCCCUGCUUUUGUGGGGUGCUCGAGUGGCGAACGGGUGAGUAACACGUGAGUAACCUGCCCUUGACUUUGGGAUAACUUCAGGAAACUGGGGCUAAUACCGGAUAGGAGCUCCUGCUGCAUGGUGGUGGUUGGAAAGUUUCGGCGGUUGGGGAUGGACUCGCGGCUUAUCAGCUUGUUGGUGGGGUAGUGGCUUACCAAGGCUUUGACGGGUAGCCGGCCUGAGAGGGUGACCGGCCACAUUGGGACUGAGAUACGGCCCAGACUCCUACGGGAGGCAGCAGUGAGGAAUAUUGCACAAUGGGCGGAAGCCUGAUGCAGCAACGCCGCGUGCGGGAUGACGGCCUUCGGGUUGUAAACCGCUUUCGCCUGUGACGAAGCGUGAGUGACGGUAAUGGGUAAAGAAGCACCGGCUAACUACGUG
This 468-nucleotide ribosomal RNA is filed under the name uncultured bacterium. Its description in RNAcentral is "partial 16S ribosomal RNA". It matches the Rfam family "Bacterial small subunit ribosomal RNA", at positions 28 to 507 of the family's 1533-position model. The record is from RNAcentral.